Molecule: unclassified non-coding RNA, 427 nt
Filed under: Hevea brasiliensis (rubber tree)
Lineage: Eukaryota; Viridiplantae; Streptophyta; Magnoliopsida; Malpighiales; Euphorbiaceae
Source: RNAcentral
AAAAAUAAAUAAUAAUAAUAAUAAGAAUAACAAUAAUAUGGGUAAAGGUUAAGGAAAUCAACAAUAGUCAAUAAAUAACUGAUUGUCCAAGUCAAAUAACAAUGGCUUCCAAGCAUGAAGAUGUGGAACAGUACUGAUAUGUUCUUUAAAAUUCUUCAUUAGGAGUGGGAAAAAAUUUCAGACUUAAAUUGUAACCAUCUAGUAUGCAGAGUGAAAAGACACUUGUUAUACCUAAGGUUGCUUACCCAUUUGUGGUACUAUCUAAGCAAUUGACCGAUUCUCUUUUGAUGAUAAGUUAAUGGUGGAUACCAUUCUCAAAUGCCUUAUGCACUUUGCUGGCAGAGACAGCCCGCACUUGUAUUAUCACAUGUUUAUUAAAUUUGGAUUUUGGUUUGGUUAAAUGUAGGUGGUUAUGGGACUCUUGAAG